UCGAAUAAAAUAGCCAUCUGCAGUCGCGGACGUCGUACAGACGUCAUAUUUAUUACUUGAAAUUGAAAAAAUAUUUUUUCGUUUGUACAAAUGCAAAACGCUUGUUAUAAUUCAUGUAAUUGUUAAUUUUUUGUUAUUUUAUUCAAAUUAUACAACUAUUGAGUUGUAUCUGAAUCAACCCUUGAUAAAUACUGUUCAUUGUUAAUAUCUGAAAAAAAAAAAAAUCUUUUUUUUUUAUAAAAUUUGUUGAAAUCUACCGAUGAUUGAUAAAUUACAAAUACGUAAGAUCUCUGUUAGAGACGUAAGACGGCAAAGCAGGCCGGUUUUUUAAAUUCCCGUGAGGAAUGACGCUUGAAGACCCAUUCUUUGUCGUCAAAGACGAGGUAUGUAAAGCUCUAAACAAAACUCGUGGUUUGUAUGGUCGCUGGACCGACUCUCAGUCAAAUGUCACCGUCGUAACACCAAACGGAGUAGGCCCUGGAGGACUUCCGGUUUCUAAAGAAGAAUUAGAGUGGACGACCACAGAGUUAAGAAACGCUUUGAGGUCUAUUGAAUGGGAUCUCGAAGAUUUGGAAGACACAAUUUGUAUUGUGGAAAAGAAUCCAAAUAAGUUUAAAAUUGAUAACAAGGAACUAAAUUUUCGAAGAGCUUUCAUUGAUCAUACCCGAGAUGAGGUCAAGAUCAUGAAAGAUAAAAUGAAUCUCAGCCGUGGAAGAGAUCGUGACAGAACUGCGAGACAGCCGCUGCUGGACAAUAGUCCAGCUCGCGCUCCAGUUAAUCAUGGAACUACAAAAUAUAGUAAAUUAGAAAAUGAACUUGAUAGUCCUAGUCGACAAUUCCUGGAAGAUACUCUACAGCAGCAAGGGCAAAUGAUUAGACAACAAGAUGAUCAAUUAGAUUUGAUCGGUGAAAGUAUUGGAACUUUGAAAACUGUAUCAAGACAAAUUAAUUCUGAAUUAGAUGAACAAGCUGUUAUGCUAGAUGAUUUUGGUAAUGAAAUGGAAGUGACAGACUCCAAAUUGGAUGCUACAAUGAAAAAAAUGGCCAAGGUUCUUCACAUGAGUAAUGAUGAUUAUUUAAAUAAAAAAUAUAUUAUUAAUAUAUACUUGAAGUGCUGCAUUGGUAUCAAACUGAUAAGCUGAGGGUCUUCCUUCCAAAGUUGAAAAAGCAACAGUUCCUUUAGUUAAUGGAGAAAUAUCUGAAUAUUCAGAAUUACACAGAACUCGAGUAUCUUCUCCCCGAAUAGUUUCUUUGACAUCAGGAAGUCCAUUCCCCAACUCUCCGGUCUUGGUGAUUCAAAUAAUACCCGUACGUAUAUGAUGUCAAAAGUUUUACCUAAAAAAUUACAGCAGUUAGAAAAAAAACAAAUUCUACGCUAUUGCUGCAUUACAAUCUAUUUUACAUAAGAUUGUUUUUAAGAGAGAAAAAAAAACAUAUGGUCGGCAGAUGGAUGAAAUCAAAGACCUCUAGAAUGAAAGGUCCCUGUAGGUAUGACGUUUUUUUUUAUCUUAGACUAGCUAUGAUAGAUUAAAAUUCUACUCAUUUUACGUUCAUAAAAAUUAAAAUAGUAUCAUACAUAAGCUUCAUUUAAAAAAAAAAAAAAAAACAGUUUUU
This 1614-nucleotide unclassified non-coding RNA is filed under the name Cotesia glomerata. RNAcentral's name for it is "syntaxin-6, transcript variant X1". Lineage: Eukaryota; Metazoa; Arthropoda; Insecta; Hymenoptera; Braconidae. The record is from RNAcentral.